UACAGAGGGUGCGAGCGUUAAUCGGAAUUACUGGGCGUAAAGCGCACGUAGGCGGCUUGGUAUGUCGGGUGUGAAAUCCCCGGGCUCAACCUGGGAACUGCAUCCGAAACUGCCUUGCUCGAGUAUGGGAGAGGGAAGUGGAAUUUCCGGUGUAGCGGUGAAAUGCGUAGAUAUCGGAAGGAACAUCAGUGGCGAAGGCGACUUCCUGGACCAAUACUGACGCUCAGGUGCGAAAGCGUAGGGAGCAAACAGG
Molecule: ribosomal RNA, 253 nt
Filed under: uncultured bacterium
Lineage: Bacteria
Description: partial 16S ribosomal RNA
Rfam family: Bacterial small subunit ribosomal RNA
Source: RNAcentral